GAGUUUGAUCUUGGCUCAGAUUGAACGCUGGCGGCAUGCCUUACACAUGCAAGUCGAACGGCAGCACGGGAGCUUGCUCCUGGUGGCGAGUGGCGAACGGGUGAGUAAUGCAUCGGAACGUAUCCUGGAGUGGGGGAUGACGUAGCGAAAGUUACGCUAAUACCGCAUAUUCUGUGAGCAGGAAAGCGGGGGACCUUCGGGCCUCGCGCUCUUGGAGCGGCCGAUGUCGGAUUAGCUAGUUGGUAGAGGUAAAGGCUACACCAAGGCGACGAUCCGUAGCAGGUCUGAGAGGAUGAUCUGCCACACUGGAACUGAGACACGGUCCAGACUCCUACGGGAGGCAGCAGUGGGGAAUUUGGACAAUGGGGGCAACCCUGAUCCAGCCAUGCCGCGUGAGUGAAGAAGGCC
This 408-nucleotide ribosomal RNA is filed under the name bacterium enrichment culture clone ALO1_GLFRUDD03HJ1Z2. RNAcentral's name for it is "bacterial SSU rRNA". It matches the Rfam family "Bacterial small subunit ribosomal RNA", at positions 9 to 416 of the family's 1533-position model. The record is from RNAcentral.